Molecule: transfer RNA, 65 nt
Filed under: Chudania hellerina
Lineage: Eukaryota; Metazoa; Arthropoda; Insecta; Hemiptera; Cicadellidae
Description: tRNA-Leu
Source: RNAcentral
UCUAAUAUGGCAGAAUAGUGCAAUGAAUUUAAGAUUCACAUAUAAAUAUAAUUAUUUUUUUAGAA